RNAcentral lists this long non-coding RNA (1309 nucleotides) under Lepisosteus oculatus (spotted gar). RNAcentral describes it as "lncRNA (ENSLOCG00000022507.1)". Lineage: Eukaryota; Metazoa; Chordata; Actinopteri; Semionotiformes; Lepisosteidae. The record is from RNAcentral.
GGCCUGUAUCGGCUGCACGUUUAGUUCGACUGGGAGUGAAUAAGUAAGAAUCAACCCCAUGCAAUUCGCAUAUAAAGAUCGAGAAAAAAACUUUAUUUUCAAAACAAAAAUGAGAGCACAGGGGAACAGCUCGCUCCUUCAGCGCUUAGUGUAGCUCCACUUAGCUCAUGUCUUUUAAAGACGCAGAUUCCGAAGACUGAAAGAAAGUAAAGACUAAACACAUUGUACAGUGUAUCUUUCUUGUAAUGUGUAUUUUUCGUCUUAAGGUUCUAAUCUACAGUAACUUUUGGAAAAAAGCAUCAUUCCAUCAUUCCAGGCUUUCAGUUUCACCUGUGCGGUACGGUGUCAGCUGCAGUUCCUUAAAGAGUCCUGGAAGAAUGAGUAUGUCUACAUUGCGUUUUGGACAGCAUGUUGUCAAGGCUUCUGUGGUGUUUCUUCAAAGUGAAUUGUCCUUCGCUCUGGUGAAUAGGAAACCAGUGGUCCCUGGACGUAUCCUUUUUUAAAAGCACCAUUAUAGCUCAACCAGUUCAGCAAACUCUGCUUGCAAUCAAGACAGCAGCAGGCUGACAGGCUUUCUUUUCUAAAUCAAGGCCCAGGUAAGAUGUUGUUUUCUUGCUUCUCCAACCAGUCACUGGAACAUUAUCUGCUCAAUGGUGCAGCACUACAGGCAUUGGUUGCUCAGCAACAGUUAGCUCAGAGGUAAUGUUUAUUGUGACCUUAUGAAAAAGACCAUACAAACAAAUGUUACCAAAAAAGUUUCAAGAGAAAGGCAGUAUGCUGAAACUAGUUGUGAUGAUUCCUAGUUAUGUUUGUAUGGCUUAUGUUGAAAAAAUAAAGCAUAUGAACUAUAUUUGUGCAGGUAUACAUUGCUAUUUUAUACAACCCAUUUAUUUUUUGUUCUCCCUGGUGUCACAUCUCUUUCAGAUUAGCAAGGGUAAUAUUUAUAUAUUAUGAUCUUAGCCAACAGAGAUGAAAUAACUAUUAUUUAGAUGCAAAUUCUAAGUUAGGUAAUUAUAUAAAGAUGUGCUGCUAGAAAAAAAAAAUAUCUUCCAGGCUUGUCACACAAAAUCUGCAUCAUUAUAUUACUGGUUAGGUGGUUUUUUAUUUCAUUUUUUAUUUAAAAAAUUCUCAUUAACACAUAAUACAUCUCCAUAAUGCACGCUCAUUUUUGUUGUUUUAAAGGAAAACAUUAAUAGUUUUUGGCUAGUAAACCACUCUACUUAAGCUGUCAACAAGCAAAACAAGCUAUAUUUAUAACCUGCAUAUAUUUGCAUUACUUUCUCCACUCUUAUUUGAAUAUCAGUGUUGC